Molecule: non-coding RNA, 21 nt
Filed under: Caenorhabditis elegans
Lineage: Eukaryota; Metazoa; Nematoda; Chromadorea; Rhabditida; Rhabditidae
Source: RNAcentral
UCCUAAAAUUUCAAAUAAUAC